GAUGAACGCUGGCGGCGUGCCUAAUACAUGCAAGUCGAGCGAACGGACGAGAAGCUUGCUUUUCUGAUGUUAGCGGCGGACGGGUGAGUAACACGUGGAUAACCUACCUAUAAUACUGGGAUAACUUCGGGAAACCGGAGCUAAUACCGGAUAAUAUUUUGAACCGCAUGGUUCAAAAGUGAAAGACGGUCUUGCUGUCACUUAUAGAUGGAUCCGCGCUGCAUUAGCUAGUUGGUAAGGUAACGGCUUACCAAGGCAACGAUGCAUAGCCGACCUGAGAGGGGGAUAGGCCACACGGGAACUGAGACACGGUCCAGACUCCGACGGGAGGCAGCAGUAGGGAAUCUUCCGCAAUGGGCGAAAGCCUGACGGAGCAACGCCGCGUGAGUGAUGAAGGUCUUCGGAUCGUAAAACUCUGUUAUUAGGGAAGAACAUAUGUGUAAGUAACUGUGCACAUCGUGACGGUACCUAAUCAGAAAGCCACGGCUAACUACGUG
This 497-nucleotide ribosomal RNA is filed under the name uncultured bacterium. RNAcentral describes it as "partial 16S ribosomal RNA". It matches the Rfam family "Bacterial small subunit ribosomal RNA", at positions 28 to 507 of the family's 1533-position model. The record is from RNAcentral.